CUGUCAUUAAACCGCUCUAAAUGUGUCCAGGCACAGCACUGCCUGCCUGGUUACAUGGCUGCUAUUUCAAAUCAACUCCCAUUGUAUUUUUCACCUGUAAACAACAGGUGUAAACAACAGGUGUAAACAACAGGUGUAAACAACAGGUGUAAACAACAGGUGGAAACAACAGGUGGAAACAACAGGUGGAGACUAAGUGAAAUGCUUACAGGUCCAUUUCCAACAAGAGAAAAUGGAAAUAGUGACACAAUGAAUAACGAAUAAAGAGUUAAAAUAACAUGGUUAUAUACAGGAAGUACCGGGUAAUAACAUGGUUAUAUACAGGAAGUACCGGGUAAUAACAUGGUUGUGUACAGGAAGUACCGGGUAAUAACAUGGU
Molecule: long non-coding RNA, 379 nt
Filed under: Salmo salar (Atlantic salmon)
Lineage: Eukaryota; Metazoa; Chordata; Actinopteri; Salmoniformes; Salmonidae
Description: lncRNA (ENSSSAG00000109923.1)
Source: RNAcentral